RNAcentral lists this ribosomal RNA (1257 nucleotides) under Triticum aestivum (bread wheat). Its description in RNAcentral is "partial small subunit ribosomal RNA". Lineage: Eukaryota; Viridiplantae; Streptophyta; Magnoliopsida; Poales; Poaceae. The record is from RNAcentral.
AUGGGUUCGGAGGCAGCAGCAGCGGCGGUGCACGGGCACCAGUUGUCGACGGUGGUGCCGAGCUCGGUGACGGAGGUGGGCAGCUACGAGCUGGCGGACGCGGACCUGGCGUUCCGGCUGCACUACCUACGCGGGGUGUACUACUACUCCGCGGGGGUCACCACCAUGGUGCUCAAGGAGCCCAUGUUCGCCUGGCUCGACGCGUACUACCCUUUGGCCGGCCGCGUCCGCCGCCCCGCCGACGAAGCCGACGCCUCGCGCCGCCCAUACGUCAAGUGCAACGACUGUGGCAUCCGCGUCGUAGAGGCCCAGUGCGACCGCGCGCUCGACGACUUGCUCCGCGACGACGCCGUCGAUCGCGUGAAGCAGCUUUGCUACCACGACGUGCUCGGCCCGGAGCUCUCCUUCUCCCCGCUGCUCUUCGUCCAGGUCACCAACUUCAAAUGUGGAGGGAUGGCGCUGGGGUUCAGCUGGGCGCACCUCAUGGGCGACGUGGCAUCGGCGACGACCUGCUUCAACCGCUGGGCACAGAUACUCGGCGGCGAGAAGCCAGUCGCCGUCACCAUGAGCCCCAUGAAGGAGCCGCGAGAGAGAAACCGUGCGCCUGCCGCGGUCGCGCCGCGCUCGGUUAAGCCGGUCGGACCCAUCCAAGAACACUGGCUGGUCCCCGCCGGCGUCGACAUGGUGUGCUACUCUUUCCACGUCACCGAAUCGAUGCUCGAGAGGCUGCGGCAGCAGGAGCCAGCGGCUCCCGGCGGCGUCUUCGAGCUCAUCUCGGCGCUCCUGUGGCAGACGGUGGCCAAGAUCAGGGCCACCAAGGAGGUGAAGACGGUGACGGUGGUGAAGACCGACAUGGCCGCCUGGAGCGGUUACUCCCUGGCCAACGAGCAAAAUGUCGGGUACGUGGAGGCGGGCUCUCCACCGGCCAGCACGGACGUGUCGGAUCUGGCUGCGCUGCUGGCCAAGGAUCUGGUCGACGAGACCACCACGGUGGUCGGGUUCCCGUGGGACGUGGUCAUCUACGGCGCGAACCUAACGUUCGUGGACAUGGAGCAGGUGGACCUGUACGGGCUGGAGAUCAAGGGGCAGAGGCCCGCGCACGUGGAGUACGGCAUGGACGGCGUCGGCCAGGAGGGCGCCGUGCUGGUGCAGCCCGACGCCAGCGGGCAUGGCCGCGUCGUCAUGGUGGUGCUCCCCAAUGAUGACGUUCAGGCCCUCCGAGCUGAGCUCAGGAACACGCCCUUGCUGGCUCGCUGA